UCCCUGGUGGUUCAGUGGCUAAGACUCUGUGCUCGCAAUACAGGGGGCCUGGGUUUGAUCCCUGGUCAGAGAA
Molecule: non-coding RNA, 73 nt
Organism: Bos taurus (domestic cattle)
Lineage: Eukaryota; Metazoa; Chordata; Mammalia; Artiodactyla; Bovidae
Source: Rfam